This 1021-nucleotide long non-coding RNA is filed under the name Junco hyemalis (dark-eyed junco). RNAcentral describes it as "lncRNA (ENSJHYG00000001527.1)". The record is from RNAcentral. Lineage: Eukaryota; Metazoa; Chordata; Aves; Passeriformes; Passerellidae.
CCAUGUCGCGACACGGCCCCGCCCACCUGCCAUGGUCAGGCCCCGCCCAUAUCGCGACACGGCCCCGCCCACCUGCCAUGGACAGACCCCGCCCAUAUCGCGACACGGCCCCGCCCACCUGCCGCGGGCUGACGAUGAUGCUGCUGCUCUUGGUGCCCGGUUUGAUGGCGGGCAGGGCCGGAACCUCCCGGGGCUCAGCCCGGUUCUGGUCCCGGUCCCGGUUCUGGUCCCGGUUCUGGUCCCGGUUCGGUUCUGGGGUCCCCGCUUCGGUUUUGGGUUCCCUGGUUCGGUUCUGGGAUCCCGGUUCGGGGGUCCCGGAUUCGGUUUUGGGGUUCCGGAGCCGCCGCGCGCGCUCCGGUCCCGCGGAAGGGGCGUGGCCUCCGCCCUCCCCACGACUGGACCGUGGUGCUGUCAAUCAAUGGAACCACGCCCCCCUUUCCCGCCAUAGGAAGGGGCGGGACCUCAGUGGGUUGGUGGGCGUGGCUAUGGCGGAAAGACCACGCCCCCCUGAGUGACAGUGACAAUCGGGGACACCGAGGGACCCCCGGGACCCCCCCAAAUUAACGGGGACCCCUCCCCAAAUUAACAGGGACCCCCCCAGGGUCAGAAUCCAACAGCGGGACCGGGAUCGGCCCGGGAGGGACCCUCGGGACCCCCCCAAAUUACCGAGACCCCUCCCUGAAUUAACGGGACCACCGGGACCCCUCCCCAAAUUAUCGGGGACCCCUGGGACCCCUCCCCAAAUUACCGGACCCCCCGAAAUUAACGGGGACCUCUCCCCAAAUUAUCGGGGACCCCCGGGACCCCUCCCCAAAUUGGGGCUCCCUCGUCCCUGGAGCAUAAAAAAGGUGGGGAAAUCCCAAAAAGUGGAAAAAUUCCCCCCAAAAGUGGAAAAAUUCCCCCCAAAAUUGGGGAAAAUCCCCCCAAAAUUGGAAUAAUCCCCCAGAAUGUUAAACCCCCAAAGCAGGAGGGAAACCCCAGAAGGAAAUAAAAACCCGGAAUUAUUUUUGGGGUGAAAUCA